UACAGGGGGGGCAAGCGUUGUUCGGAAUUACUGGGCGUAAAGGGCUCGUAGGUGGCCGACUAAGUCAGACGUGAAAUCCCUCAGCUUAACUGGGGAACUGCGUCUGAUACUGGAUGGCUUGAGUUUGGGAGAGGGAUGCGGAAUUCCAGGUGUAGCGGUGAAAUGCGUAGAUAUCUGGAGGAACACCGGUGGCGAAGGCGGCAUCCUGGACCAACACUGACACUGAGGAGCGAAAGCCAGGGGAGCAAACGGG
This 253-nucleotide ribosomal RNA is filed under the name uncultured bacterium. RNAcentral describes it as "partial 16S ribosomal RNA". It matches the Rfam family "Bacterial small subunit ribosomal RNA", at positions 524 to 776 of the family's 1533-position model. The record is from RNAcentral.